UGACACUGUCAACCAGUAAAGCAACAGCUUGGUGAGGUGACUGUUAUGAGGCCAUGGGGACUAAGAUGAGAAGCUAUUUUUAAUUAUGUUGAAUUAACAAGUAAGUUUCUGCUUUUUCUUUGCCCCCAAAAUAAAUGGAGUAUCUAUUUUGCUAGAAGUGACUAGUGAAUGGUCUGUGACCACUUAAUGGUUGAGUGGUAUAGAAGCAAAGAUCUGGUUAUUGGUCUGUGUUAGCUGUUCUGCUCUUUUCUAAGAAGAAAUAGUGGUAUGCAUGUAUGUAGAUUUAUUACAAAGAUAAUUAUUAAAAGUAAUAGAUUGUUUCCAAACUUCAUCCUGCUCAGACUAGAUUCAUUGGAACGUAUGGACCUCAGUUACUUAUAUUCAUUACUUUCAUUGGGUCUAGAAGUAGCUUUGGAUACAACCUUUAGAAUUAUAGAAUUAUGUAGCUACACAAAUAAACAGCUUUAGUCUAUUCUUUAAAUGGAAUUUACCAAAAGCUACAAAUCCAUUCUAAGGCAGUGUUAAGGAUCUGUGAUGGCAGUAUCUCCAUCAAUAAUAAAAAAGACAAAUCUAUCUCUCCUUUAUUCAAUGUGAAAUGUCCUGGAAGGUUGAUAAUGCUUUUUACCCCAAAGUGUAUUUGAUGACUUACAAAAUGAGUGUAAGAGUCAUAGAAAAGAAAGAAAGAGGACAUAUGGCUGAAAAGUGUAGUCCAAAUCUAGUAUUCUCCAUCACUGAAAAUCCACAGAACUGGUAAAACUGCAGAGUGGUUUUAUAAUUCAUAAUUCUAAUAGAGGAACCCAGGCACCUUCAGACACUACAUUGGUAUAUUGUGCAACUUGUGUUCCUCCAAGUAAGAUCUUUUCUUUUUAAAGGCUUAUAUAUAUGACAGCAACAAUGACAAAUGAGAAUACUAAUGCACAAGGUCCAAUUAUUUCAUACUGAUUUCUUGAUAGAAACAAUCAAGAGCUUUGUGAUGCCUUAAAGACCAACAGCUAUGGCUGCAACCUUUCGAAGGGAAAAAGUCUACUUCACCAGGUGCAUUACUGAGUAAAAAUGUUCAGGAUAAGAAUAUUGACCUGUUCAAGCCUUGCCCACCCUAACUAGGAUAAAGCAGCCCUUUGCCUUGAAAUUUUGUAGCUUUGGUUGUGGCUAGAAAGUAAAUGUGUUAUUUAUGUAUUAGCUAUUAUGCCUAGAUAUGACGAGUUCUGCAGCAGAGCUGAUAAUAUGAUGAUGUGGUUUCUCUCCACUGCUGAAACAGAAUAACUUUUAGUGUGCAAAAAAAAAAGACCUUUUAAAGAAAAUCUAAACCGAAAAAUAAGCAUUUCAAAUGGAAUGUACUUGGGCUAAUAACAUUUGGGUUGGGUUAAUAAUAUAUGGAGUAUUGUUCUAUCAGAAUGCCUCACAUACCACUGGUGACUAAUCAAGGGCAUCUCUAAAAAAGAGACCUUUGAUACAAUAUGGUCUCCAUUUUUCCUCUUUUAUUGAAGAAGAACAGGAUAUUUUAAUGUCAUCAUCAUCAUCAUCAUCAUCAUCACAAGGGUGUCUGUGCAGGAGAAAUAUUCAUUGAAAAUGUUAGCUUUUCUUCCUUUUCUUUUCUUUUUAAGAAAGUAAACUACCUGUUUGUUAAGUCUGGCACCGGAGGUCCUUCUCUAAAUAUUCCUGCUGCUUUGUAGGCUUUCUUAAUAAUAAUUACUUUUAUUUAUAAGCCACCACAUGACUGGGUUGCCCGGAGACCCACAUUUUAGACAUUUUUUUUAAAAAAAAGAUUGCCCAGGAUUUUAACUGCUUUUAUAUCUAAUGCUUUUUGUAUUUUUACUGUUGAUAUGAUGAUUGCUUUUGUUUGUGAUGUUUUUGAUCUGUUUUAUAUUUGUUUUAUAGUUCUCUUUUGAAGGCUAUCUUGAAAAUCUAGAUUAAGGGGGAAAACUUUUUUUUAUUGGAAUGUACUCUGUGUGUGUGUUUCCUACUUCUUUUCAGGCCAGAAUUUUUAAUCCUCGGAGUUCAGGAUGGAAAAGUUUUGCUUUCCCCAUAAUGGCUGGAGCGUCUCAUUGCCUGUCAAUACACAUAUUUAUUGUUUUGCUAAGUUAGUUCAAUUUGCUCCAGGAAGCCACUUUGCUCUUUUGAUUUCAGGCCACGACUUGACAGCACCCAUCAAGUAACCCAGCUAAUUACCAAGUUAAAGCAUAGCCAGGAAAUGUACUGCUCUUAAUUAUUGUUAAAAUCCAAAUAGUGUCCUCAUGCUCAAAAAAGGAUAUGGAUUCAGCAAAUGCCUCUGCUAACAGAAGGGGAGGGCAGGAGAUUUGGAGCAAUUUGCAAUUCCCCCUGCAGCCCCUUCCAUACUUCCUUGUGUAGGGUGCUCCAAACUGUCUGGAGCCAGUUUUCAGGAACUCCUGGUGGUUGCAGGGAGAGUGAAAUCAGCUAGAGGUGCUUCUCCUCAUCUUCCAUUAGAGGAAGUCAAAAGGGCACCAGGAGGUUUCUAUUUAAUUUAUACAAAAGACAUGGGGCACAGUCCUUGUUUCUUGGCCCCCAUUCAUACAGUCAGCUGGAGGUGGUAUUGAAAUCACAUUGUGGAGGAACUUUGUGAGUACUUCCUCUCUACCAUGGAGAUAGCCCCCGUUAUGAUCUUUGUCAUGUGUACUAUUUCUUCCCCGAAGAAGAAAAAGAAGAGCAGGCUCUCGUCUACUCUUGCUCACACAGAUGUCUCUGUCCAUACUGUGGGAAUAUCAUUAAAAGAUAUAAAGAUAUAAAAACUGAUAAUUGUAUAUGACAAAUGUAGAAAGGUAUGGCUGUAGUGCCAAAGGCCGUAAAGUUAAAGUGGACGUAUGCAGGAAAUGUGACAAUAGACAAUUCAGUCCGAUGGAAUAAAUUGUAAAGUCUCCAUAUGUUAAUAUGGAGACUCUAUAAUUUCAAAAGACCAAGGGGACCACCACCGGUUCUUGGUGGAUGAUCCAAAACUAACAGCGGGGCUUGUGUUGAUACAAGAAGCAAACGAGAAAAUUAUGGAGAGAACAUGAAGAGGUGCAUAUGGAAAGAUGGAUGUGAGAAGACCUCAGAAUUUUGUUGCUGCUAUGUCAGGAACGUAUUUGUGAUUGGUUGAAAUAAUCUCUUCACAUGAGUCAGGAGCUAUGUUUCAAAUAUGUAACCAAAGUUCACAUACGUUAGACAUACUUGUUUCAUGUACGCACUGAUUUCCUCAUUUUACAGUUUACAUUUCCUAUUGCCAGUUUUUUAAUCCCUUCCAUCCCUCUGCUGUUUUUUUGGUUGGACAUGGGCUGAAUGUAAGUGACCCUAUAUUUCAUUUCAGUCAAGGAUGUGAUGAUAAAUAGCACACUUUGUGCUGCAUAGGUGCACGUGAUGAAUCAUACAGAUAUCGCUAAAAGCCUUCAGCACUCUCCCUGGUACCUUUCUUAGCAUCUGUGCAAUGCCAGAUAUGUAGGAAUGAAUGGAACAACCUAAUCAUCUGAAAUGCUUUUUGAAAUGUGCUAGCAAGAUGGAUCUAGAUGGAUUUUACAUCAGAGAUCAUAUUUAUCCAUUCCUCUGCUACUUGGUGGUAUUACCAGUGAGGUGAUCUAUUAAUGUUACAAGGAGAAAUUUUCGUGAUGGGGGUCAGGUGGUUGAAAAUGAAUUUAGCUUAUUUUUUUCCACUCCUCACUCUGUUCCAGCUAGUUGAUUUUCUCGGCUCUCUGAUUUUUUGCUGCACUGAGAAAAACCCUCUGAAAAGUGCAAUUAAAGAUUUUCUGAAUCAGUGGCUGUUACUUACAAAUACAAAAAAUAAUUUAAAAAGCCCCAUACCAAAGUUUGAUUUGAGAUAAUAUUUCCCAUCCCUUCUUAUUUUCACAAAACUGCUUUAACCGUAGCUGUAUUAUAAUAAGUCAUCUCACUUAUAGGCCAGAUCAUAAAUUUGUUUCCAACAUCUUUAUGGCCUUCGAAAAAGCAGAGAUGAAUUGAGCACUGUGGGGCUGACUUAAUUGGCUGAAACGCUUUUAAAAUGUGAUGUGGUGUGAUUUAAUCAGACUGUGGCACUAAUGGAGUUAAGCACUCUGUCCACUAGGAAAUGAUAUGAUCUUUCAGAGUUCUAAGUGCCUGUUUAUGGCUCUGUUGAAGGUGCUCUUUUAUAACUCCUGCAUUCUAACCCAUUGCCUGGGGUUAGAGGGUUUUUAUUUUAUUUUUAAAAAGCAGUUAUGUACUACAAAAUGUAGAGUGCCUAGGUCCUUAAGCUGGACUUCAUGAAAUGUAUUCUUUAAAAAAACCAAUCAAUUAUGCAAUAAAUAAAUAAAUAAAUCAGAUGAACGUUCUAAAACAUCUGAUAGCAAAUGGACAAAUCUUCCCUUUCCUCAACAGCAGCACAUCUGCACUCAUGCCCACAUUUCAGAACUAUCUGUAAAUAAUCUCAUUUUCUAUUAAAUCAGCAUUAGCUUGACCAAAUUACAGUGCUUGAACAGUACUAAUGGAAAGCGCUUUAGGAAUUCUCUGGCCUUAUUUCACAUUGAGAAUAUGAAAAAAGAACCCUGCAUUUUCCUAAAAUGGAAGUGCCUGUGGGUAUCGUCCAGUGAUGUCAUAUUGCACAACAAACUUCUGCUUGCACACACAGGAUUUCCCCAUCCUCUUCUCCCCCUGUAACCCCUCUCCCAUGCCCCAAAAUCUUCUCCAGACUGUUGAGGUACCCUCUGCAGCAAAUUGAGGGGUGCAGGAGUAAAGAAAGGUAGAAGGAGAAGUUUAAUCUCCACCCCAGUUGCCAUCACCCUAGCCUUCAAAUGCCUAAAACAACGAGUUUACCUCAAUGGAAAACUCAAAACAAAAUGGGAAACUUGCCACUCUAUUUUACAGUUAGACAGUCCUCAGUGAUUGCUUGUUGCUUCAGUAAGUCAAUCUAGUUGAACCUGGAUAUAAAAAUCCCUGGUGUUGUAGUUGGUUUAAGAAUCUCAGAUUCCAAACCCAAGUCAAUUAUGUGGGGUUUGUGUGUGUGUGUGUGUGUGUGUGUGUGUGUGUGUGAAAGAGAGAGAGAGAGAAAGAGAUACUUAAGGCAUUCUAAAUACCACAAAAUUCUGAGGGAUAAAAUAAAAGUACAAUGUGAUAACUGAAAGAUGUCUGCUUCUUUUUGGCUUCCUAGUAUGGUCACCAAAUUCUGUUCCAUCACGGUGAGAUUGAUGCCUUCAGGCAAGAGGAAAGCUAAGGGCCAAUGGUAUCAGAUCAACCAGACUGCAGAGUCUGCAAUGUCAAUGACAUAGUUUGAAUACCACCCUAUUUCUUCAGCUAUAUUUCCAGUCUUCUGUUUUGCCAGGUACUGUAUGUGCCUCAAUUCCCAGAUAUGCUAUAGAUUAUGUGGAAUCAACAAAUCUGUAUGAUUGGUUAAUCUUUAAAGCCUGAUGCUAACAUUAGAACUACUACAUACAGAAUAUGACUGUAGUGUGAUAUAUGGAUAUAUACAAAAAAUAAUAGGAAUUCAUAUGAUAUACAAAUAUGCUAGUCGAGGAGCUCCUUAUAUGAGAAAAUAGUAUAUACAUGGCUUCAUUUCAUUUUCUUACUUUGACGACAAAAGCAAAUUUAAGUCUUCAUAUAUUGCAAAUUGAAACGAACAGCUGCUCAGUUUCUUCAUAAACUUUAAUAUGGUUGCUAUAAAACCUAAUUGUGAUGUUUAAUAAGUACCUUUACUGGUAAAUUCUAAUUAAUCUGAGAUAGAGGGAGGAAAAAGAAGUCAUUUUUAAAAAAACGGACUUCCUUUCCUAUCCACUUCUAAUCUGAAUAUAACCUAAUGAGGCAAAUUUAGUUCGAUAUUUAGCCUAGCCAUUUUUCUCUGGCGGCUAAAGAAACAACAGUUGUUGGGUUUUUUUUACAGCCAUUAUACAUGUAGUAUAGCAUUGCUAAGGCUAUUGAUUUAGUCAAUAACCAUUUAUUCACAUCUAAACUAAGUAUAAUUGGAUGGGCACAAGAUAAACUGUAACACAGUAGUUACCUAGUUAGGCACAGGAAAAGCCGAGAAUGAGAACAGAAGCUGGUCCCUUCCUGCCAUAAAUGUAUUGUAUCAUGUACCAUGUACUUCCACUAAAGUGUUUCUGAGGAUUUCAGUGAACCACUUAGUAGUAGUAGUAGUAGUAGUAGUAGUAGUAGUAGUAGUAAUAGUUUAACAAAUCAAAGCUCAUGUUUUAACAGUGUUUAUUUUCUUUGUCUCUGGCAUCAUCAUCAAAAUCAGCAUUGUAUUAUAAAAUCAUAUGUCCUAAGACAGACCAUUAGUACAUUUUUAAAGGAAAUAUGAGUACAGUGAACUAGCAGUUUAUUAUAAAAUCGUGGGUCCCAGCUCCAAGUCUUGUUGGCUAGUUUGAUAACCCAGUUCUGGUCAAAAAUGGGCCAACCACGAGAGUCAGAAAGCAAACUAAUCAAAUGCAGAAACAAAUACAAAUAUUCUUGACUUUUUUUCAAUCUUUCCAUGGCCCACUUGAAGGGAGCUCAUGAACCACAAUUUGAGCAUCUGGCUGAGUCCAUAGAAAGAGAGAGCUAAUUAGUACAUCCAGGUAGAUUUUUUAUUAUUAUUCUUUUCUCAGCCAAUAUACACAUGCAGAAGAUUCAUUGCUGGGCCUACCAUUAGGCAGUGUGAAGCAGCCAAACCAGGCAGCAAAUGCUAGGAGAUAGGGAGCCAGCAGGGUUGGAAGUGGCUAUUUUGGCACCAGGACCAACAACAUGAAAUGCAUCCCAUAGUCAACCAUGUAUGUAGUGACAUAAAAAAUUAACAACAGUUGUAAUAACAUGAUAAAAAACCCAAACAUAUUUAUUUAAAUUACAUUGUAACAUUACAUUAUUACGUGCAAUCGCAUGUAAAGGAGAAACAUUAAAAAAAUCAUAAUUAUUCUAUCAGUAACUUUACACAUUAUAUUUUUUCAUGCAGUCCCUUACCAAUAGUGUCACCUAAUACAUUAUUAGAAUGAAUACAUUUUAUUUUUGUAAAUAAUAUAUAUAGGUCUAUUACAGUAUGGAAACAUUUAACAUUAAUCAUGAUUUGACACCCCCUUGAUUCAGGUGCCCUGGGCACAGGACACCACCCUAGUUGCAUCCCUUGGGAGUGGCAGGGAAGUGUUGGAAGACAGAGUUGUAUGUUCCAUGUGACCUGCCCUACACUCCACAAAGCUAGUUAGUGCCCUCAGUUACAUGGGUCCUGGCUUCCAUCUCAGAAGCAAUGUCAGAGGCUCCUACGUGUGUGUAAAAAAGAAAGCUUUAAUCAAUGCUUCCAGUGAUUUUGGUCAGACUAAGAGCACAGAUAGCAAAUGGUGCAACUAAGAGGUGAAGAAUGAUAUCAGUGGAUCCAAAAAGAGACUAAAGUUGUGAAGUUGCCUCAACAACUGGUCAUGUCCCUCCCAUCAGCUUCGGACGGAAGACGUGGUACACUCAAAAGAGCUCUCUCUUUCCCCAUGAGAUUGGUGUGCUUGGAGGUGUGUGCUAGCUGUCCAGCCUCCUCCAGCUGUCCAGUCUCCCCUCCUGGCAGAUUGACAUCUUCCCCUGUUGCUAGGGAAUCUUCUGCUCUGUGCAAGCAGCUUGACGGAGCCACUCAUGCUUCCUCCCUUCCCUGGCUUCUAAAUGCAACAGAGUAGGGGUAAUAUCCUUCCUCUCAGCCCACUCCCUGCCAGUGGAGUGCUCUGUGCUCUCUUCUGACUCAUCUGACAGUAACAGUCCCUUCCAGCCCUAAACCAGUUGGAACUGAAGGACUCACAGCACUGUCCUGUCCCCAAUGUUGAAAUAAGGUUCAAUUACCAGUCUGAGCAGCUCCUGUAUGUAGAACUGGGCAAGUAAUGGGAGGUUGGACGAGCACUCAUAUCUGGUCCUUUGCCUCAAGCAAUGAAAUAUAUUGGGCUGGCUCCAGCAGACUCCUCUAUGUAAGAGGACUGGAUCACAUCAGUCUGCUGGCAAGGAUGCAUAUUGCCCUAGCGCUUUCUAGAUGAAGGACUCAAAUAUUGUUUUCUGCUACUAGCUUUAAUCAGAUCAGUAUGGUACAUAAGCUAUGCAAGGGUCACUGCUAUAGCAGGCACAUAGAAUGUCUAAGCAAGCUGAGAUGUGGAUCCAACCUGGACUCUUGUUAUAAAGGAGUGGAGUGGGGAUGGCUUCAUUGCAGAUCUUCCCACCUCUCACCUUCAUCUGACCAGUCCUUCCAGGAUGAUUCCUCAGGACUCAUGACACAUAUGUUUCUUUUUUUUUUUUUAAAGCAAUUUAUUGGGUUUUACAGUAAGAAUAAACAUAGUAAACAAUAUAACAUUUGUCUUAACAUAGUUUCACAUUUUCUUUGGACUUCCUCACAUCUCCCGCUCCCACUUUCAUCGUUAUAACAUUUUGUCAGCAAUUUAUCAUCUUAUUUAAAUUCUUAUAUCUCUUCAAUAUUUCAUAAUCUUAUGGUUCUCAUAGAGAGUUAAACUUUCACAGUCUUACUUAUUUUCUUAAAAACUUCUUAGUUAAGUGGUGCUCAGUUAUUUAGUCUAGCAUCUUGUUUAGCAUUCACUCAAAUCACAAUAUUUUUGUAGAUAGUUCUUAAAUUUCUUCCAAUCCUCCUCGAUUCUCUCUUCUCCCAGGUCACGGAUUCUGCCGGUCAUUUCAGCCAGUUCCAUGUAGUCUAUCAGUUGCAUCUGCCAUUCUUCCAGUGUGGGUAAAUCUUGAGUUUUCCAAUGUUUUGCAAGAAGUAUCCUUGCUGCUGUUGUUGCAUACAUAAAAAUGUCUGGUCCUUCUUUGCCACCCCUUGGCUGACAAUACCCAAAAGGAAAGCCUCUGGUUUCUUGGUAAAGGUAUAUUUAAAUACCUUUUUCAAUUCAUUAUAAAUCAUUUCCCAGAACGCCUUCACUUUAGGGCAGGUCCACCAGAGGUGGAAGAACGUUCCCUCACACUCUUUACAUUUCCAACACUUAUUAUCAGACAGGUGGUAAAUUUUUGCAAGUUUAACUGGGGUCAUAUACCAUCUAUAAAUCAUUUUCAUUACAUUUUCUUUCAGAGCGUUACAUGCAGUAAAUUUCAAUCCAUUACUCCACAACUUUUCCCAGUCCUCAAACAUAAUAUUAUACCCAAUGUCCUGUGCCCACCUUAUCAUAGCCGAUUUAACCAUUUCAUCUUGUGUAUUCCAUUCCAACAGCAAGUUAUACAUCCUUGAAAGUACCUUAAUCUUUGGUUCUAACAAUUCUGUUUCUAAUUUCGAUUUCUCCACCUGGAACCCUAGUUUCUUAUCAUUUUUAAAAACUUCUUUAAUCUGAGCGUAAUGUAACCAAUCUCGCACUUUGUCUUUCAUUUUCUCCAAACUCUGCAAUUUCCAAUUGUCUCCAUCUUUUCUAGUAUUUCCCAAUAUUUUGGCCAUUUAGCCUCCAUAUUGGGUCUUUUUCGGGCCUUAGCUUCCAAAGGUGAAAGCCACCUUGGUGUUUUAUUUUCCAGCAAGUCUUUAUAUUUUGUCCAGACAUUGAACAAUGAUUUUCUGACAAUAUGGUUCUUGAAGGCCUUAUUUGCUUUAACUUUGUCAUACCAUAAAUAUGCAUGCCAUCCAAAAACAUUAUUAAACCCUUCCAAAUCCAACACAUCAGUGUCUUCAAGAAGUAGCCAGUCUUUUAGCCAGCAGAACGCUGCGGCUUCAUAAUACAACUUUAAGUCCGGCAGGGCAAAGCCCCUCUUUGUUUUGCAUCAGUUAAUAUCUUAAACUUGAUUCUGGGCUUUUGCCCUGCCAGACAAACUUCGAAAUAUCUCUCUGCCACUUCUGAAAGCACUCCGUUUUGUCCAAAACCUGAAGUGUUUGAAAUAAAAACAACAUCCUUGGCAAUACAUUCAUCUUAAUAGCAGCAAUUCGGCCUAACAAAGAAAGUUUCAAUUUUGACCAACUGUCUAAGUCUCUCUUAAUUUCUAUCCAACAUUUUUCAUAGUUAUCCUUAAAUAGACUUAGAUUUUUUGCUGUUAUGUUUACCCCUAGGUAAUUUACUAUUUUAACCACAUUAAGUUCCGUCUCAUUCUGAAACCGUUCUGACUCUGUAUCAGUCAAAUUUUCCCCAAAACCUUAGUUUUCUGUUUAUUUAAUUUAAAUCCCGCCACCCGACCAAAAUCAUUGAUCAAUUGUAAUACUCUUUUCGUACUGGGCUCUGGCUUCUGCAGGGUCAAAACCAGGUCAUCUGCAAACAUGACACAUAUGUUUCGAGUGCAUCCCCAAACCCUUCCAACAUACAGGGAUGGAUUCAGUUAACUUGUCCUGCUAGCAGAAGUCAGGGCAAGGAUAGUCACCUGCUCUAUGGGGCUAUUCCCUUCCUCUCUUCCCCCUGAUCUCCUUAGUACUACAUUGAAUUCCACCAAUAGAAAAUUAGAACACCAGGGAAAAUCUAGCCUAGACUGCUUCCCUGACAAUGCUAGUUUUAAAUGUGCAGGGACAGUGUGUGUGUGCAUGUGCAUGCUGGGAAUUCAUUCAAAGAAACAGCCCCUCGUCUGCAGUUUAAAUGCUGUGGUAGGAACUACACAAUGAGAAACUGCUGAUUGUAAAUAGAAUAUCAUGCUCUUCUAAAUGGAUGGCAGGUCUAUGUGGAUAUUUAAGAGAGGCAUUAUUUAUAUCUGACCUUGCAUGCUUAUCAAUUAAUGUCUUAUUGAUACUACAGCCAAAAUUGAUCCCUGCCUCCAGUUGCGGAUUCUCUUGAUGAAAGGAGGAAGAAAAACAAGCAGGUUUCAGUGUGUUGUUCUGCCCUCAGGAAUAGUUUUCUUGAAAUAUCUGGCAUGAAAUACAUUACUCUUAAACCCAGUAAAGAUUUUGCUGUGAUCUUUGUGAACUCAGAAAAGACCUUUCACUCUGCAAGGGAUAUUGGCUUGGAAUAUAUUGGGUAUGCAGAGCACUUUGCCAAAAAUAGACUUACUUGUGCAUCAAAUUUUUACUUCUAUGAAGUUUGGUAGUGGAAUCAGGCUUUCUGCUGGAUGAGGCAAAGGUCUCAGUUGCACUCAGUUGGUGCAGGAGAAUCAGAGUUGCUGGAGGGAAAGAGGCAGUCAGGCCUAGAGUAAGAAGGCAAAUUGAGCAGCAGCAACCCUGAGUCAUUACUGAGAGUUACAAGAACAGAGCUGGCCUGUUGCCCAGGCAAGAGUUAAAAGGUCACAUAGAAGAAUUUGCAGGUAGUUCAGAAUCAGCAGUAGUCAUUGAAUGUAUAAGGGGCUUCCCUUAUACAACAAUGUUUUAGGUUUUUUUAAAAAACAAAACACAUAAACAAAUACUUGUUUAAAUGUACAUAGUAAUCAUAGGGAAAAAUUGCAACUUUUAAAGAUCUGAAAAGGAACUGAUUUUUAAUGCUCAAAAAUGGGUGCACAGAUUUUUGCCCUCUAGGGUCAUAUGUAGUGGUGGGUGUAUGGUUGAAGACCCUCCAGGUGUCCCUAUAUUUGCCAGGGACGGUUCUGGAUUUACAGAAGCCAGUUUCUGAUUUGCUCCCAGAAUGUUCUGCUUCUCCUUAGGAUGGACCUAUGGAGAAAUGUUGAAGGGUAUGGAGUUAUGUGAACUCUGAGUCAAGGAGAUAAGAUACAACCUUUAGACAUCUAUAUAAGGAAGUUUUUAAAAAAUGUUUAAUGUUUUAUUAUGUUUUUAUAUGUGUUGGAAGCCACCCAGAGUGCUUGGGACAACCCAGUCAGAUGGGUGGGGUAUUAUUAUCAUUAUUUUCAUUGGAGAAAUGUUGGAGGGUAUGUGGUUGAGGACUACAUGUCAGUGGUUGUGGUCAGUGAUGGUCAAGGCCAUGAACAUACACAUAUUCAGCAAACACACAUGCAUUUCACUGGGAUUACUGGUCUGCACAACCUUGUAAUCAUGAUACUUGACAAAUCACUGUCCGCACGCUACUAAUAGCAAUCUUAUCUAAAGUAGGAUUGAUGAGGCAUAGAAGUUCUAACUUUUCCCAUGGCUGUGACCCAGUAAAGAACACUGGCCCUGCUCAGUUAACAGCUGGGCAGCAGGAAAAGGAGUAGCUCUGUGGGGCUAGAUGAGCUGCACAAAGAUUGGCCAAGAGAGGCUAAAAUAUCCCUUUGCCUAAUUAUUAUUAUUUAUAAAAUUUAUCUACCACACCUCAUCCGCGGAUCACGGAGUGGUUUACAAUAUAAAGACACAAAAAUACACAGUAACCAACAAAAACAAUUAUGCCCCAAAGACCACGAAUGAUGUUCGGAUGAGUUAGUGUUCCUUGGUGCUCUUUGGCCCCAUGUUCAAGUCAAAUAGUCAUGCUGCUGACUGCAUGUAUCACCUGACAGCUUGGUCUUUGUAAGCUUUUAUUCAGUGGCACCUUACCUCUUUGUUUCCAAACAACAAUUCUUCAUUUUCUUUCCAAGGGGGAAAAACACUUGCAUGAAAUGUGAGAUUGUCAUUGUAUGAGUGAGUAGUAAGACUGGCCCAAUUUAUCAUUUUUCCCUGUACGCAUUAAUGUCAACUUUUCCAUACCAUAUUUGCAUGGCAAGAGAUGAGAAUGAAAAAGAACACCGUAAGUUACCAUAGCAUAUGAAAACAUUUUAAAAAACCAAAUAUUCAUUCUGUUAUUAGUUCUGCCACCAUGAGGCACGUUCACUAAAAGUACUAAUUAAGGAAGCAGGGGUGACUGAAGCAUGAAUGCCGCUGUAUUCUUCUAGGUUCAAUAUUCAACAUGGAUCUUUUUACAUUGGUACAAUUGCCACAAGCUUUUCACAUGUCUGAUUCUGUCCAGGUCACUACGCAUCAGGGGGUAUAAAUAAUCAGUACCUGUAGUACAAGUUAGGUAGAAAAAUAGUAGCUUAGAUGCUCAUCCAAGUGUAGAUUUAUGCCAGGAUUUCGUUCCUCUUGAUGGAUGCAUGUUUUGAUAGGCAUUCUGAUGUGAAUUAAAACGCACAUUACCUCUGACAUAGCAAGCACAACUAGUCAUGCAUAACUCCAUAUACCUGUUGCACAUGCAUGGACAAAGCCUGAUGGAAAGAAGCAAAACAGUUUUUUAAAUUAUAGCCGACAUUUUCCAGAGUGUUCUAUGCAAUGUAUUUCCCUCAUCCAGUUUUCUAUGUGCUCAGUUAUCACGGAAAAGCAGGACAUUGGAUUGAAAAUGUUAGAUAGCAAUCAGCAGUUUUACACAUACAUACCAAAAGUUAACCAAUAUAGUUCAGAACCCCUCCCUCCUGCAGCAGAAAACAUUUGUUUGAGGAUCUUUUUGGCUGGUGAGGUAGAGGGAAAGGAUAUCCAACAUAUCAGGUUUUCAAUGAAUAUUUGGCAUAAUUAUUCUGUCUGAGACUUUAGCACUGAAUGAGGGAGUAGAGGUCUUUCUUUCUUUCUCAUAUCUUGCCUUCCAAGGUGUGAUAUUUAUAGGUACCAUGCAGGUUGAACAACCUCAAUGAUUUUUUUGAUGACACAGUCAACCUAGAACCAUUUCAAUAUGAGCUUUGAAUGUUAGCAUGGUGAUGUGAAUAACACAGACAGAGUCUACAGAGAAAAGAAACUGACAAUGCUUUACUGAGGGAAACUGAACAAGACCGUAUAAAAUAUUAGCAGAAAUAAACACUGGGGAGUUUGUCUUUCUUAUAGGACUUGUUGAAAGCAUGGAGUCAACAACAUAGCCCAUGAGAGUUCAAGUUACCUCAGCAAGGUUCAUGUCAUGCUGGCUGGUUGCUAGGCAACAUCUUCAUCUCCCUCUUCAUUAGCUGACUGUCAAUAGAAUUAACCCUUAGAUUAUUAACAGAAUGAUCCCUGCUUUUGCUCUUGCAACACUGACUUAGGCAGUGUUAAUGGCCCAGAUUAUAAAUGUUUCCAUAGAUGUGAAACAUCUCUGUGUUUAUUCUGUUAGGUCCUUCAGCAGCUUUUAGAUAUUGUCCAUUCCAUUCUGCUUGGGCUGUCCCAAGUGAUAGUGACCCAUUGAUUUAAAUAUGGUUUUAUCUGCCCAUGUUCAGAAUGAAGUCAUUGAGUUAUAUGAAGUCAUAUUCAUCAAUAGCUAGGAGCAAUAAUUUUACUACUACAACUUCCCUAAGAAGGUCAAAUGACUAACUCUGCCCUUGUGGCAUUCCAGAAAGGCUCCAAGAGCUUCCUAUUUUGGAUGACUUCCAGGGCUGACUUGAUGUGUGUGUGUAUGGGCAUCUCUGAAUCACUAGUUUUGCUGCUGAAAGUAUUCUGGUUUUGAUUGUUCAUUGUCUAUCUUAACUAUGUUGUUUUAUUGCAUUUUAUGUAAGUUACCUUUAAUAAUCAAUAGUGAGCAGUUGCUGUUGUUUUUUGUGAUAUGUAUAAUGCAAUAAAACAUUGCAGUUUUACCACAACAUUAUUGUGCUUCUAUGCUUCUCUUGGCAGACAUGAGGUGCUCAUCUAGCUUUUAACUGCUCCUGCCUUUCACAGCCUUGCCUUUCUAACUGCAGACUGAGACAAUAUAGUUAUGGCAAUGAUGUGGAACUCUUGGACACAUAAGAACUACCCUCAUACACAAGCUUUCUGUUGCCAAGCAACUCUACACAAGCCUUGACAUUUAUCUCUUGUUGAACAGAGCAACUUGUUUUUUUUGCUUAAACCUCAGCUAAUUGCAUUAUCAGAAUCUGAAUAAAAUUUAUUGAAGGAGUAUUGAUGAGCCUUAGAUCCAUGACAACACGUAGGUGGUGGAAAAACCCAGCAAUGUGUGCUGGCACUACAUGCCAAAGAAAAGUUACUACGUUAGCCAGUUUCUUAAAUACAUUGGAAAUACUGGUCAAAAGGUUAAUUUAAAUUAUGCUUCUGCAUAGUUCUGAACAAAUCCCACCAGAAAAUCCCACCUGCCUUCACCAGGUUUCUUUUACCAGGGUGGCAUUGGCCAGUGAUCAAGAGCUGAGCCAUGAAAGUGAGAGGUGAAAAUGAGUUUAUUUUAUUUAGUUAUUAAAUUUUAUAUCCUGCCCUUCCUCCCAAAGAAUUCCAUCACCCCAUGAGUCCCUACAGCUCUGCCUUGGUCUCCAGAGCUGUUGGAGGCUGGUUCUGGCUCAUCCAUUUUGCCUAUUGUGCCACUAACUCUACCUCCAGAGUAACAGAAACCAUGUGCAGUUCCACUUCUUCAGUUGUGGGGUUGUUACCCUGUCUGUCCCGCCCACCUCUGAGGAGGCAGCUCAAGGAGACACCAGCACAGAGAUGGGAAUGGUGAACCCAUCUGGAGAAGUGCUAAGUUGCUUGCCCAGUAUAAGAACUGGAACCACCCACUAUGAUAAGUUGUACACAUCCCUUUCCCUUAUAACAGGGUUGAAGGCUUUCAGUAUACCUAAAGGAGCAUGUCCACCCCCAUCGUUCAGCCCGGCCACUGAGGUCCUGCACUGAGGGCCUUCUGGCAGCUCCCUUCCUGCGAGAAGUGAGGUUAUAGGGAACCAGGCAAAGAGCCUUCUCGGUAGUGGUGUCUGCCCUGUGGAACACCCUCCCAUCAGAUGUCAAGGAAAUAAACAACUAUCUGACAUUUAGAAGACAUCUGAAGGCAGCCCUGUUUAGGGAAGCUUUUAAUGUUUGAUGUUUUAUUGUGUUUUUAAUAUUCUGUUGGAAGCUGCCCAGAGUGGCUGGGGAGGCCUGGCCUGAUGGGAGGGGUAUUAUUAUUAUUAUUACUAAUUUCAACAUAUUUGCUUGCGUAGACAUACGUAGCACCUGCUGUGCCUUUGAACUAUGUUUUGCCUACAUAUUGCUCUGAUCCGAGCAUUUAAAGAUUUUGGCAGAAACUGCAACCUGAAUUUGAGUGCUCCAUUGAGUUACAGCCCAGACACACAGAGCAUCUCUUCACACAGUGAAAUUGCAGGCUCAGGGCUGCAUGGGUAUAAGAAAUUCAGGCUAAAAUGAUUUUCUGCAACAACCUCCCCCUCUCUCCCUAACUACCUUAAACUACUGUUUGUGGUACCCUGAAAAGUGGGAAAUAUUUUCCUUUCCUAACAUUCUUCUAACUGAAUAAUAAAUACCCAGACAAUCAUCUAUCACUCAUAUUGCACCUCACUGAAUCUAGAAAGAACUGUACAAAGGCAGCCUUUAGUGGGUAAAAUGAAAGAAAAACUGAAAACUCCACCUUUCAUAAUUAUAUUUAUGUAGCACUAAGGAGCUUCCAUAGUACUUCUGCACUUAUAAAAAAUAGGACUGUGGCACUGCAUUCACAUUGAUUUUCCUCAACAGCAACAAAAAGAUAAAUAAUGUUUUAAUGUUCAACGGUAACUCAAAAUGAUAAGCAACUCCGUUGUCUGUGAGAGUCACAGCAUAAAACAUUGCAUGUAUUCAGUUUAUAGAUUCCUUGAGGAAAUGGUGUCUGCAAAUAGAUCACAGUGAACUAGAAUGGAAGGUUUUCAAAUAUACGCUUAAAAACACAAUUUACUCCCCUGGGUGCCAAAACAUAAUUAACUAACAGUCCAAUCCUACAGAAAGUUGACUGGAAAGGAAGGGGGGGGGGGUUCGUCCCUAACAAGUGUGGUUAUGGUUGCAGCCUUCAGUGCAUAAAUGUCCCAUUGCAUCACAAUCCUUGUUAUAAGAGAAAACACCUCUCCUGUAAGGAGCGCAACCCUACAAUUUAGACCUUCUGGGAAAACCCUGCUCAGAGUCUCCAUCAUACAAAACGUAAGAUCUGUAUGUGAUAUAUGUGUAGGUAGGUGUUAAAUAAUGUGUGUAUUAUAUAAUCUUUUUGCUAGGUGACCAUGCACAUGGUCAUAUCUGAAUGUAAUCAGGAAUUUCCUGUUGGUUUCUGGUUCUUAUUAAAGAUAGACAGCUAAAGUUCUUCUCUAGCUUCCUUCAGUGACAAUGUGUUAGGAGAGAGGUUUUCAGCCUUUUUGAGUCUACAGCUCCCUUGACCAACUACAUUAUUUCUGUGGUUCUCUAGUGAGGAAACAAACUCUGAGUCUCAGGAGCUCAGUUAUGUCACCCCUUGCCUGCCAAGCCAUCAGUCCCUCACCCCUUUUUGGACAUCCUCGCUUGUGGAGGGUUCCUUCAGCAUCCUCUUCCCUCUCCUCUCCUUGGGAGUCAUCACCCACUUGCUUGCUUACUCCAAGGUGACCCCAGCUCCUGGCAACCAGCAUUCCCUGGCUGGCCCAGAGGCACCAGUCACCUGGAGAGCUUGUAACUUGGGCCACUGCAACAAACAGCUGCAAAGCCUCUAGAGGCAGAGACACAAGAGGGAGGAAAGGAUGGAGGGGUGGAGGCUGGUUUCACUUGCAACACCCUGACCACCAUUCAAGUCAUCCUAUUUUUUUUUAAAUGAUAUUUAUUGAGAAUUUAAAAUUACAGAAAAAGAAAGGAAAAAGCAAGAAAAAAGAAAAGGAAAAAAGGUAUACAAAAAAAGAGAUUAAACAAUAUAAGUCAAUAAAAACAAAAGUAAAACAAACAAACAAAAAAACACACCCAAUACAUCAGAAUCAAAAAAGCAAAAAUAAACAAAAAAUUUAAAAGCAAAUCCAAUAUUCCCAAAUCCUUAUCUUUCAGUAACUUGUUCCAUCGACCUCCUCACACCUCCCUUUUUUGUAUUCUAGUUAUUAAUUAUCUCAGCAAAUCCUUUCCAUCUUUCACAAUAUUCUGUCAUUAAAUUACCUUAAUCUAUUUUAACCUUAUCUUACCAUAAAAACCCUAAAGCUUAAAACUUAAAUCUUAUUUAUACCUAAUUCUUUUUAACAAAACAUAUUUAUACAUAAUUCUUUUUAACAUUUCUACUAAAGCCAAAUAGUUUCAUUCCAACAUUUUUCUAAUACUCAUUAAUUUUACAAUGAUUUUCUAAAUGAAUUUUUAAAACUUUCUUCCAAUCUUCAUCCGUCGUCUCUUCUUCCUGGUCUCGGGUUUUGUCAGUCCUUUCUGUUCCAUCCAUCUAGUCCAUCAACCUGGUGACCUUCUAUCCGAGGCUCUUAAGUCUUUUCCAUGUCCCUUCUGCAGGUCUUCUUCAUGUUUAUACCUGCACUUUACUUUAUCUUCUGCUGAUCUUAUUCUUAAUUUCCUUCCUUUCUCUCCGGGAGACUCCAACUUGACAAUAUCUUUAUCCCUUCUCGACAAGUCAGCCCAUUCUCCAUAGUCGACACUGAAAUCCAAAAGAUAUUUAAAGGCAUGUUUCAAAGUCCCUCCAAGAUUAAGGGCCCCCACAACUCCGAACUCCCCCUGGCCCAAAGCCAGAUCCGAAAAGUCAAAACAUCCCUGCAUAGGGGGAUCUAUCCAACUUCCCAUCUCCAGACCAAACAGUACUCCAUCUCUCCAAAUCUGACUUUCUCCAGGUUCAGUCGUCAAAGACAGCAACUUAUGUUCCUGCAAGGCCGCAGCUCUCUCCAUUUCUGGUACUUGAGGUUCAGCAACUACCUCCUCCUUUAUCUUCUUCACCACUUGCUCUGUCAAAGCACAUUCCUGGAUUGAUUCCUGAGUGGUUUCUAUAUAAGUAUUCACUGUUUGUCCAAAAUUUCCAACUGCAACAGUCAUCAAAUCCAUCUUCUCAUGUAGCUGUUCCAGUAAAGCACUUGUCUUGCAAAAAGCAAGCACUAAAGCUUCUUCUGGGCACAUUCUUGUUCAAGGUCGGUGUCUAGUUCCCACGAUCUUUUAUCUCUACAGCUGUAGAAUUCCCCAGAUCGACUCCAGCAACAGUUUCACAAGCUCCCUCUAGAGGAAACAAUUUCUAUUUGUAUCUGUCUUUUUAAAAGCAGAUCUAGCGACAAAGUUCCUUUCGUUUUCCAGAUAUUUUGUUCCUUUUAAGUGCAAAAGGGAACCUUGGAAUCAAUAUGUUUCUCUUUUUUAACUAUCUGUCAAAAACGUUUUGUCCACAGUCAAUGAACUUCCCCAAAGUGUCUGUCUCUGACACCCCGCUCCCAGGAUCAAGACGGUGGAAAUUUAUCUUUCUUUACUCUCUCUUCUGCAGGUUUAAACAGUCUAAAAGAUUCCCCCUCUUCUCCUGCUUCCAAGGGGGGUUUAGUGAUUUUAACUGAUGGAAAUUUAGUCCUUUACAAACGACUUUCCAGACUCUAGCUUGCAAUGUCUUUGCUUCAAUCUAUUUACAAAAGUGGAAGGCGGACUUCCUGUUUAGACCUUCCCGCUUCUUAAUCCAAUUUUCCGUUCUACUCACGGGCAGUUGUUUAAAAUCCAAUUGUCCACAGGAAAAAGUCAGCGCUCUCCGGCAACAGCAAUGCGGCUUCACUCCGUGAAAAAAGCAGUCGAUUCAAAGCACCGCGCCAUUCACCCCACGUCGCUCCGGAUCCCCGAAACCGGGUUUCCCCGCAAGUAGGGGAGGCGCAAAUGGUGCCAGCCGAAUCCCACGUCCACAGGCUUCUCCCGCCUGUGGUUUUUAAUGGGUCUCUGCCUCGCCGCGGCGGUCCAGACCCUAGUUCUCACGAAGCAGAUUCCUCCUGGUCAGAGGAAAUCCGCCAUUGCCGGAGGCGCUAACUUGGAAGUCCCAUUCAUUCAAGUCAUCCUAGGGUGCAAUGGCACACUGGUUGAAAACCACUGUGUUAGGGGAUGGAGGAAGGCCUUUUUUGGUUGUAACCUCAUAAUUAUGAGGGUCUUUGCUGAAGACUUUCCAUGCAAGCCAAAUAUGUUAGAUAUUUUGUGUUUCAUCUUUCUUCUUUGUUGUGAAUGAGGAGACAGAACUAAAGGCUCACAACAGUUCAAUAAGUAUUCAGGAAAGUAAUGUGUUUGUACUGAAUGCAAGUGGAGCUUGUAGAAGAAUCUGGGGAGAAAAAUAUAUAGCAGAGUUUUGGCAGAGAUGCUAAAGAAAAUUAGUGCUAACACUAUUAGCUGAAGGAGUAAAUGCUGACUGCCCUGUGUUGUAAAGGUUACACUUUUGUAUACUCUGGCGGUUAGGCAUUGGAAUAUGGUUGUGUGUUGGAGGGCAGGGUGUGGCCAUCACCUACCCCUCCAUUUUAUGGGUAUUCCGGUAAAGGAACCCGGCGGUCGUGGAUCCUGUCUGACGCCCUUGCUGGUGGCUAGGGCCAUGGCACGACCCCCGGUGACAUCAGGGGGAUCUUUCAGUUGUAUUUGCAUCAACAGGCUCCUUCCACUGGUGGUUAACAGUUGAUAGACUCACCCCUCCCUGAGGGGCUGGAGUCAUGCUCUGUUGUUUUAUCCAAUGCCUAAGCCAAUACCCCUCACAUGCUGUAAUCAAUAAAGUUGUGGGCUUUUUCAGCCCAUUAACGUAAUAUACUGUGUCCAUGUGUCUUUCUUAUCCUCAAGCGGGUGGCGGGUCCUUGAAUCACAAAGAAAAUUAGUGCUAACACUAUUUGCUGAAGGAGUGAAAGCUGAUUGCCCUGUGUUGUAAAGGUUACACUUUUGUAUAUUCCAGGGGUGGGAGACUUGCACCCCAGUACAGACCUUGUCUUAAUUUCAUGAGGGUGAAAAGGAGGUGAAAAAUAGCUAGAGGAUAGCAGAAAAACAGGGGAAAGGGUGGCACAGAGCAAAAACUAAUGGGUCGGCAGGAAAGGUGGGUGGAAUGGUUUCAGUCCCACUGUCAGCAUGCAGUUGUUAAGAGAAUAAAGGUUAAUCAUCCUAAGCUAUAUACCUGGGAGUAAGUCUCCAUCAAACUCAAUAGGGCUUAAUUCUGAAAGUAUACUGUAUGUAUAGGAUUCCACUUUAAGUCACCUAUUUGUUUGACUUAAUUUAAGAAAAUGUAUCUAUAGUUUUAAUCUGGUCCACAUGUAUGAUUUGGCCAUUUUAACCUACUUUUCUACAUUGGGCAAAAAAAGCUAUCUAAAUCUCAUUAAUAUAUCAGCAUAUGCAUUCAGUUCUAGCUGAGUAGGUUAAUCUUGUAAUAGAUAAUGCUUAUACAGCAGCUGUAGUGAUUGCAGAAAAGCUAUAACAAAUUACAUUAAAGGUGUUGGAGAAAUAAAGUAGGGACUUUUUAUUAUAUGUACAAGAAGAAAGUGUCAUAUAAUAUCUCAUUUUGACUAGUGGCCUGGCCUUUAGCAGAAUAUAAAUAUUAUUGAUAUUGAUGUUGCACCAUGAAUCACCUCUCGUUGCACUGGCUCCAGCAGUAGAACCUUUACUGUACAUAGAAGGAAAAAACCCAACCAUUAUUUAUUACUAAAAGCUAAAUCUUUGAUAAAUUCUUAACAGGAAUAUGAGCUCACACUUCAGUUUCUUAUCGUCUCACAAGAUCAUACACCUUCCCACCUUCAAGGCUAAUACCAUUAAAAUACUAAUAAUCUUACUGCACCAUUCAAAAACCAGUUAUUGUUUUCAUCUACACUCCUAUCAUGGAAACACCUGAAGCAGGUUGCUUCACUGUUGCAUAGCAGGGACACUCCUAGUUUCAUAAUCACAAGCACAAUUCAGGAGAGCUGCUUCUGUCUCUUGUUGUAUUUUCUUUUAAAUGAGCAAAAUAAGCAGCACAAGGAGCAAUGCCAUUCAUGUAACAACUGAUAGCUGAAAUAUCAUCUGCAUCACUGCAAACAUGCAUAGCUGGUGUGGUCAUUAUAAACUUUUGGUAUAUUACUUGAAAUAGCACAAAGCAUAAUAGGACAGACUUUCCUUACUUACCUCAUGCAGCAUGCUGUUGUAAUAAUUCUAACUCAUGCAAUCCUACAUCCCAGCAGCUAUGCAUAGCUUUAGGCUUGUGAUGUUCAAAUAUAUAUGAAUUUUAAAGUUUCUUUACAGUACUCUAUUUGUGGAAGUUCAAGUUAUUAACCUUGCCCUUCAGUAUUGUUCUGCUUUGUGCAUCCCUGUAUACCUUGGAAAUGCAGCUUUGUGCUCAAUAUGCAUAUCCAAAUAGUAGCUGAUUUUGCAAAGCAUUUGAUGAUGAUGCCUGCUAUAUAGAUGAUCUCUGAGCUGUGUUUUUUCUAAGGGGUUUCUCCUUUUCUUUUUGUCUUGGUAAGCAAAAUUAUUCUGCAAUGGUGAAAACAACUGAGGAGGUGUGUGUUCAUGAGCUAGUGGAACAUUUGGUGUGUUCCAUGCAGAAGGAAAAAAGACAGCCUCAGUCUACAAUCAGUAAAAAGCCACUUCCUCAGACCAGUCACUGUGACAUCCCAUUUAACAAUAUGUGACUACUCAAGAAGUAUUUGAGAGCAAGCAGCUUAUGGAUUGCAGUCUAAGUACAAUAGAUACUGAGGAAUAAGGAGGAGAAAGAUUGUGAAAGAGAAAUCAACAAUUUAAUGGGAGUGGGUGAAAGGGGCAAAUAGUUAAUAAUGCUGUUGAAGACAGUCUAUUUCCUUGUGAGACAGUGCUAUUCCUGGUGCUGGAUGAAAUCUGGGAAGACCCUUCCCAUUUUCAUUUGUUCCAAAUGGUAUAGUAGUACACCAUUUCAUCUUUACUAAUGCCCACUGAGCUAUAUUUAUUAAAUGUCUCUAAUACUGCUCACAGAAUGACACCACUAUAUUCAUACAUUUAUGUGAUUAACAUGGAAAUAUUUUAUUAUAAUUAUCUGAGCCACCUAAAGCCUAAUGGAGCCCUCACAGUCUUAGGCAGGUUAGUGUGAAAUUUAAUUUGCACUAAUCUGCUAGGCUGAUGGGUGUAUUAUAAAUCAAUGUGCAAUGAAGGAAGGUAGUGUAGCUUAAACAAAAAAGGCUAGAAGUAAACAGACCUUGAAUAGUAUUUUCAUAAAGGGAUGACUAAAAGGGUGACUUCCAAUUACGCAUAGAGCAGUGAGUGACCUAAUUUUUCUGUGCAUCCAGGUGAGGUGAGAAGUCUGCUACAUGUUUAAUAUGUUUCAAAAUGAGGGAAAACAUUCAUUGGAAUAAGGAGCCAAGUGAUAUGUUUUCAACUAGCCAAGCACAUCCUAUUCAAUUUAGGACAAAACACCUACAUGCAUGUAUACCCAGAAGUAAGACCCACUGAAUUCAAUAGGACUUAUUCCCAGGUAAGAGUGUAAAGGAUUGUAAUCUUAGGCUGCACUCCUGUAGUCACCUAGAAUUAAUCCUCAUUAAAGUCCCAGAAGUGGGACUUACUUCUGAGUAGACAUGCAUAGAGCUGUGCUGUUAAUCACUUAAUCAUUGUGGGUUUCCAUUCCUCAAUUGGUAGAUACCUGCUUCAAUGCAAAUUUGGUUUUAUAAAUACAGAACAAUAUUUUAAAUAUUUAGACCCAUUUCCAGUGUCUAAUGAUAAAAUAAAAACAUCAGUUUAACAACAAAUAAUUAACAACAAUAAAAAAAUGAAAGCUGCAGAUUAAAACUGCAACAAAAAUGCGUAACACAGAAAUGGUACACUUGAGAACAGAAACUUUUUGGUGCAUUAGCACAGAAUCGGUUGAAAUCCCGAAUGAAUAAAAUGGUUUUUGUGAGCCCAGGCUGCUGGGAAGGGGGCACAGAAAACAAUACAAACAACAUGACAAUAUAUUGUUGUCAGGGGUUCAGGGACAGAGGCACAGGGUAGGCAGGAGAUGGAGAGCGAUGGGGAUGAAUCCCAGGCCAGCGAGGAAGAGGAUGACAAUGACUCAAGAGAUUCCAUGAGUCUUUCCAGCGAAUCAGAGGAUUCCCAGAAGGGGGCGCCGGUGGUCAAGGCCAGGGGAGCCCCAGGGGGGACGUGUCCGGAGCAGGGGGCCAGCGGGGGAUCCCAAAGUGGCAGCUGGGCGUCAGGACCAGCCUCCCCACCAGAGUGCAGCGAAGGGGGUGGAGUUUCCAGUGUAUCAGGGGAAGCAGCUCCGGCGGCAGAGAAGGGAGGGAGGUCAGAACAAGCCACCCUCCCGGAAGGGGAGGGGAGUAGUGAAGGGAGUAGUCUAACUGUCAAAAGGAAAGUUAGAGUUAGGGCGCGCGCCAAGUUCAAAUGUAGAGGCGCGCGGAAGUACAGGGAGCCCGGAGGAAGGGCCAGGUCCCAAAGCCCGCAGGAGGGGGCAAGAGCAGUCUGAUUCCACGUCAGAGGAAUCCAGGAGGGGGGAAACCCCAGCGGGCAGAAGGACCCUGCGGAAAAGGAAAGAGAGAAAGAGGUGGAGCAGCGCAAGCCUCUUAAACUGGUGCAGGGGAGGGACGGAUUCAGAGGGGACUUCAGCGGUCUAAGCGUAGGAGACGUAGGGCUGCGCGCCUCGGAUGUGAAGCAAACAAUGAACUGCAAUAAACACUUUUGUAUAUAAGAAGAGAUAGGCGUUGGUCUUUUGUGAGCUGAGACUUGAGGCAGCCCUGACAGUUGUGAUCAAAAUGACCACAACUUUAUUGAAUUCAGAUGUCAAUAGGUUUUGCCAUAGGCGUUGAGUAUACAUAUUGAAUCAGCUGAUUGUUGACUGCUCAUUUAAUCAGGGUCUAUCCUGGAUUAAGGAUCCUCAUAUGAUGCACAUCAUAUACAGGUAAUCUGUCUGGGAUGCCAUUUUGGGCGUUCUAUGGCCCAUUGGCUCCUUUUUGGGCACACAAACAGAAUGGAUUCCUCUGAAUCCCUUUACAUUUUCUCAGGCAUUCCCCACCUCUCCUCUGACUAUGAGAACACUAGAGUAGGAAAUCAGAUGCUGAUCUCAGUUCUUAGAAAGGUUCAUAUGGCAGAAGGCAGGACUUCAAGAACCUCAUUCCAAAGCUAUCUUGGUAUUUAAGGGUUAAAAGUUAAAAUCAUCACUUUGAGUGUGGUAUCCCAGAACUCAACCUAGACAGGAUGCCCAGAUUGAUGGUACCAGAAAUGAUUAUAUUGUCAAUUGUUGAGAUGUAUAGGAGAAGUAUAAUAGAUUGUGCUCCUUGCACAGGCCAUCCAACUGGGUGACCAGGAUGGUUUCAAUUUCAAACGCAGGUCGGAAGUUAGAUUGAAACGAAUCUAGAUUAGAGAAGAAAACCCUAUAGCUUUCUAGAUGUUGUUGGACUACAACCUGUACCAUCUCUCACCACUUGUCAUGUGAAUUGGAGAUGAUGGGAAUUUAAGUCCAAUAACAUCCAAAGGGCUACAGGUCCCUUCCUCAUGUGAUCUAGAUAAUCCAUGUCAUUGAGGAGCCAGUACACAUCUCAAAACCUUGCCCUCACAAGGCAGGCUUGCAACUGGAUGCACAGCAGCCUCCAUCAAGAGAGCUUCAAAAGCUCCACCUAAAGAAGUAUUCAUUAUCUGCUGGAUCUAUCUUGGCUGAUAAUAUCUGGCAAGGGAAGUUUGACUGAAGUCCAAAAAGGGUCUGGGUCUACUUUAGGCCUCAAAUAAGCUCACUUGUGGUACCCAACCUACCAGGGUGGGUGGCUCUUUUGUGCACAUUUAUUAGGCUUCCAUAAGGUACUAACCUUCCAUGAUGCAGGAGCACUGGGGAGAGAUUUACAGAGGGCUAGAAUGAGAUUUGAAGAAACCAGAUGUGGCCUGUAGGGCAUAUACUGCCUGCCCCUGCUUUAAGCAUUUUAUUUAUACUUUCUCUCCCUACCCCAUUACCUGGGGUGUGCUGUGUGUGUGCCAUAUUUACAAUGCCUAAUAAAAGGCUGCUGCAGCAGGUAGCCUGGUCUUCAAGGUGCUCCAGUGGUGUAAGACUCAUGAUUGAAAGGCACUUUACAAGCCACAGAUGAAAGGAACAAUAGAACAGCCAAGUGCACUUAUUAAUAAUUUAUUUAAAAAUCAUACCUUUGAUGGACAAGGCAUUGUAUGUGGGUUGUGCACAACUGACAGUAUUGACAUUAUUGUAAUUUUCAAUUGGUUUUAAAAGACCAGGGGGCGGGGUGAUGGUGUGGGAAACGCAAUAGUCCAAGGGAGAAAAUACAUUGGGAUAAUUGUUAAUAGAACUUGAUUUAUAGCUGUACUUCACUGUGUAGGUUCUUAAGACUCGCUGCAACUUCCCUUUUGUUUGGACUGAUGAAUAAUUAAUACCCAAAGCUUCUUAUAUUUCUUUACGGCUAACCUUUUGACCAGUGUGUUAGCUAAGCAUUAUGUUAGAUUACUGAUAGAGCUUGGAGGAAUAAUGAUAGCAAUCGUGAUUGCAGCUAUUGUUCGUAUCAUAGGGGUGGGUGGGUUAUUAGGUUAGAAGCACUGAACUGGCUUUUUUAAAGGAAUACCUUUGUAGGAAAAGAAAUCAAGGUAAAUGCCUUGGGUUGUUGUUUUUUAAGUUGGCUAGCCUUUCUUCCUUUCCAAAAAAGCAGAACUGGUCAUUUUUCAGGGGUGGGGUGCUGAUGAUUUGGAGUGGACUUUAAAGAAGACAGACACCACGACCCUGGGGUUCAGCAAUAGCUAGCACACCAAGUUAAGGCUGUGGUUCCUGGCUUUGAGCCUGAUUCUAGUGCUCACUGAACCACAUACCAUAAGACCAAGCCUCAUCAAACUGGAUCCAGGGCUGUAACACACACCUUCCCCUAGACCUGAGGACCCCACAUUACAAAAGGCGGGAAGCCAUGAAACACAGAAGUGCCAGUCUCUACUUUUCCACAAGGGAGUGGAGUCUAGGAGGUAUGGCAUUGAGGUAGAUGGAGCCUGUCUACACACCAUACAUUAAAAGUGAAGUGGGAUAUGUGAUUCAAAUGUAUGCAGCCAAGGGCUCAAAGGGGAAAAAGUUCAUUUCCAGUCCUUGUUGAAAAAAGUUACUCUCUAGGAGCUCUCCGUGGUGCUGAUUAGCAACCAGUCCAUCUUGCAGCAGCCUUGUCUUGUGGGCUGCUCUGGGUGUGUGUGUAUUCCAGAACAAGAAAAAUCCCACCACUACUUAUCACCUAUAAGUAAAUGGUACCAGGAUUUAGUUGCAUACAGACAAUGUGGAGGGGCAGCUAGUAACUAGCCCCUUCACAUUGUUUGAAAAGUUAAUGUAGUAGGCAGUUUUGCUGGCUCAUUCUGGCCCAUUUUGCUGAAGCAUACAGCCUUCCAUUAUGCCCAUUCAUCCAGUUUGGGGAGAUCCUUUUGCAGCUGCUCAUAAUCCCCUUUUGUUUUUACAACCCUGAACAAUUUGAUGUUCUCAGCAAACUGGCCUCACUCCUGGAUAAUUUACAAACAAGUUAAAAAGCACCAAUCCGAGCACACAGACGUGGGGUACGUCCAUGUCUGCUUUAUCCCUUAGGUGUUAUGGCUCACAGAAUUUUGAUUUAUGAGCAUAUUAUUACUACUUUGUGGGCCUUAAUACAGAUGUUCUCUCCCCCUGACAUUUGUUCAUGCACUUGGGAGUUGUUUUAAAGUGAAGGUGUCUGAUCCUAUUAUAGUUGGUCAAUCUCUCUCAUAACAUUUUCCUUACUGUCUGUUUAUUUUUUAUAUUCUCAUAAAGCAAUAGCCCUUGUUUCCCUCAGUGGUUUCUGCUCAACUGCAGAGAUAUAUUUAGAAUUUACACUUUUCUAUCAUGCCAGAAAAGAUCAGUGACCCAUUACCCAGCAAAGAUGAGAUGAAGCAACUGGAUCAAACUGAAGACUGAACUUUCCAAAAGAGACCCAAUCCAUCUUAUUUCUGCUUUAUGGAUAGUACGGAAAACAAAACAGUCCCAUCCAGAGAUGGUUGCAUGCAGAAAGGUCUGGUUAUGAGACAAGGCAUGGGUUCUGUCUAAUCAGUGCUGUGAAAAUGGAGAUUGUGUUGGCAUUUGAUUGAAACACAUGUUAUAAAAAUAGCAGGGGAAUCUGCUUGUGGAAGCAGCUUUUAUAUGCAUAAUAUUAUAUUAUAUAUUAUAAAAUAUAUAAUAUAUAAUAUAUAAUAUAUAAUAUAUUAUAUAUUUUCCUUGCUGGGCUGUGGCUCAUCUUUUUAAUCCCGCAGGCCAAAAUUCUAUAUUCCAAGAAGCUCCCCCAAACCUCUCACCCUUGGGAGGUGAGACUUGUGUCAACUAGGGCUAGGUUCUUUUCUGUUGUGGCACCUACCCUAUGGAAUGCCUUGUCGAGUAAGGUCCAUCAGACCUCGUCACUAUGCUGCUUCAGGUACUUAUUGGCAAUUGUUUUUUAGUUUUUUUAAAAGAUCUAUGGUUAAUUGUAGGGUGUAUGGGGUGUUAGGGGAGGGACCUAGUGGGGGACAUGUCAUGCUCCUUCUGGGGUAGUAUGCCCACCUUUGGACCCCACCCUGCACUCAGCUCUCACCUGUGGCUCCUAGAAGCUGUCAGCAUGCGACAGCAGCCACACCCCAGGAAUUGGCUUCAUCUGGUUGGCUAAACCAGGUGAGGGUAGUGGAUGGGUCUCAAACCCUCGGUGAGUUAGGGACUUCCUUUGCUAUAGAAGACAGGCUCUGGUGGAUUGAGCAAAUGAGACCAAUAGUGGUCAAGAAGGUGGCUACUGCACAUGCUGUAGAGGGAAGUGUGGGGCAGAUGGUGCCUGGGAAGGGAGCCCAUCUAGGAGAAGGAAAACUGAUCCUAAACCUCUGCUGCCUUUCAGGAUAUCUUUGGGAGAAGAAAGUGCCAAGGAGUAAAUCCUACACAAACCUGGAGUCUCUAAGAUGAUUGGAUGGCAUCUUGUACACCUCCUUCCAGCAACUCCUGCAGCCAAGCUGGUGCCAAAUGUAUUGCUCUGCUUUCCUUUGGGUCUUGUCAACUGGGCAGCCCCUGAACCUCCAUACAGCCCUGGAAGUUUGAAAAUUUAGUCUGAAAAUUAUGACAAAAUAUUGGAGUGGAUUUGGCACCAAACUAGUGCCAAAUGUAUUGCUUUCCUUUCCUUUGGACCAGAUCUGUGAGGCCGAGAGGUGGGUUGGUUUGUUGUCUGGGCGGCCCAGGACCUUCAUAAACACUGCCCAGACUUGCACAGAGG
This 28386-nucleotide long non-coding RNA is filed under the name Podarcis lilfordi (Lilford's wall lizard). Lineage: Eukaryota; Metazoa; Chordata; Lepidosauria; Squamata; Lacertidae. The record is from RNAcentral.